This 984-nucleotide long non-coding RNA is filed under the name Podarcis lilfordi (Lilford's wall lizard). The record is from RNAcentral. Lineage: Eukaryota; Metazoa; Chordata; Lepidosauria; Squamata; Lacertidae.
GGCUUCCUCCCGAUGGCCCUAACAGUCUUUCAGGCAAAAUCUUUAGCCCAACUUCUAUAUGGCUCUCAAAUUAGCCCCUCUGCCAACCUUAAGACCCUUGAAACAGUACAAUCUAAAUUCUUAAGAUCAUUAUUUGCUACUCCUAAGUGUACACCUAAUGCAGUUUUAAGGCAAGAGGCAGGACUGCCCAGAGUGGAAUUAAAAGUAUGGGAACAAGCAAUAUCCCUCUGGCUGAAAAUCCAUUACAAUCCUAAGGGUCUAUUACCUUGCUUCCUGGCCGCAGUUCCCUAUCCUCCUUGGCUUAUGCAAAUAACUAACAAGAUCAAACAAAUUGGCCUAAACCCUGAAAAUAUUUUUAUUGGAACUCUGAACAAGGCAAAAGCUACUAUCACUCGGAGACUUUAUGAUAUCGAAUUACAACAAGAAGGCGCCCUACUCCCAGAGACGUAUAGAUGUUUAAAAGCUUGGCCUAAUUUUGCAGCUGCCCCUACUUAACUAACAUCACUAACGAAACCUAUAGAUGGGCUUUCUCUAGAGCCCGCUUUGAGACAAUGCCCUCAGCAGUGCUGUACGGCAAAUUCACGCGAGUUCCAAUGCAUGCGCGUCUCUGCCCUUGUAUGUCUAAUAAGGUAGAAUCUGUCACACACAUUCUUCUAUCUUGCGAAUUCUAUAGUGAAGAACGAGUUCAACUUAUUUUACCGCUUCUAUCAAAAUUUAUACCCCUUCAAUAUUAUUUGGAAUCCUCCCCUGAAAUUCUUCGAAAAUACCUCCUGGAAGAUUCCUCAAGCUCAGUAUCAUAUGAGGUGGCUAAAUUUUGCACUUUAGUAAUUAAGAAGCGUAAAUCUCUUCUGUUGAAUGGCACACUGUGAAGUUCUCUUGUGUAACCUUUUUUCUUUUCUGAAGUUGUUGCUGAUUUUUUGUUGUCUGAUCUUAUGGUGUCUAGUGUCACUGGCUUUGGCCGCAAUAAACUUGAACUUGAACUUG